CAGCGGUAACAGAAAGUAGCUUGCUACUUUGCUGACGAGCGGCGGACGGGUGAGUAAUGCUUGGGAACAUGCCUUGAGGUGGGGGACAACAGUUGGAAACGACUGCUAAUACCGCAUAAUGUCUACGGACCAAAGGGGGCUUCGGCUCUCGCCUUUAGAUUGGCCCAAGUGGGAUUAGCUAGUUGGUGAGGUAAUGGCUCACCAAGGCGACGAUCCCUAGCUGGUUUGAGAGGAUGAUCAGCCACACUGGGACUGAGACACGGCCCAGACUCCUACGGGAGGCAGCAGUGGGGAAUAUUGCACAAUGGGCGCAAGCCUGAUGCAGCCAUGCCGCGUGUGUGAAGAAGGCCUUCGGGUUGUAAAGCACUUUCAGUCAGGAGGAAAGGUUAACGGUUAAUACCCGUUAGCUGUGACGUUACUGACAGAAGAAGCACCGGCUAACUCCGUGCCAGCAGCCGCGGUAAUACGGAGGGUGCGAGCGUUAAUCGGAAUUACUGGGCGUAAAGCGUA
RNAcentral lists this ribosomal RNA (510 nucleotides) under Alteromonadales bacterium HD-OI-02-6. Its description in RNAcentral is "bacterial SSU rRNA". It matches the Rfam family "Bacterial small subunit ribosomal RNA", at positions 64 to 569 of the family's 1533-position model. The record is from RNAcentral. Lineage: Bacteria; Pseudomonadati; Pseudomonadota; Gammaproteobacteria; Alteromonadales.